RNAcentral lists this ribosomal RNA (245 nucleotides) under uncultured Prolixibacteraceae bacterium. RNAcentral describes it as "partial 16S ribosomal RNA". It matches the Rfam family "Bacterial small subunit ribosomal RNA", at positions 524 to 768 of the family's 1533-position model. Lineage: Bacteria; Pseudomonadati; Bacteroidota; Bacteroidia; Marinilabiliales; Prolixibacteraceae. The record is from RNAcentral.
UACGGAGGAUGCAAGCGUUAUCCGGAUUCAUUGGGUUUAAAGGGUGCGUAGGCGGCUUUUUAAGUCAGUGGUGAAAUCUUGCCGCUUAACGGUAAAAUUGCCAUUGAUACUGAAAAGCUUGAGUACAAUUGAGGUAAGCGGAAUGUGUAGUGUAGCGGUGAAAUGCUUAGAUAUUACACAGAACACCAAUUGCGAAGGCAGCUUACUAAAGUGUUACUGACGCUGAUGCACGAAAGCGUGGGGAG